GGGGAUAUAGCUCAGUCCGUAGAGUACUUGCCUCACAUGCACAAGGCCCUGGGUUCAAUCCCAGCAUCACAA
RNAcentral lists this transfer RNA (72 nucleotides) under Ictidomys tridecemlineatus (thirteen-lined ground squirrel). RNAcentral describes it as "Spermophilus tridecemlineatus (thirteen-lined ground squirrel) tRNA". It matches the Rfam family "tRNA". From Rfam's summary of the family: Transfer RNA (tRNA) molecules are approximately 80 nucleotides in length. Their secondary structure includes four short double-helical elements and three loops (D, anti-codon, and T loops). Further hydrogen bonds mediate the characteristic L-shaped molecular structure. tRNAs have two regions of fundamental functional importance: the anti-codon, which is responsible for specific mRNA codon recognition, and the 3' end, to which the tRNAs corresponding amino acid is attached (by aminoacyl-tRNA synthetases). tRNAs cope with the degeneracy of the genetic code in two manners: having more than one tRNA (with a specific anti-codon) for a particular amino acid; and 'wobble' base-pairing, i.e. permitting non-standard base-pairing at the 3rd anti-codon position. Lineage: Eukaryota; Metazoa; Chordata; Mammalia; Rodentia; Sciuridae. The record is from Rfam by way of RNAcentral.